CCUACGGGUGGCAGCAGUGAGGAAUAUUGGUCAAUGGCCGGAAGGCUGAACCAGCCAUGCCGCGUGAAGGUCAGUGCCCUAUGGGCGUUAAACUUCUUUUGUGCGGGAGCAAUAAUGGUCACGUGUGGCCAGACGAGAGUACCGUACGCAUAAGCAUCGGCUAACUCCGUGCCAGCAGCCGCGGUAAUACGGGGGAUGCAAGCGUUGUCCGGGUUUAUUGGGUUUAAAGGGUACGUAGGCGGUGAGGUAAGUGAGCGGUGAAAUGCCCCCGCUCAACGGGGUGAAGUGCCAUUGAUACUGCCUGGCUGGAAUGCGGAUGCCGUGGGAGGAAUGUGUGGUGUAGCGGUGAAAUGCAUAGAUAUCACACAGAACACCGAUUGCGAAGGCAUCUCACGAAUCCGCGAUUGACGCUGAUGCACGAAAGCGUGGGUAUCAAACAGGAUUAGAUACCCCUGUAGUC
Molecule: ribosomal RNA, 460 nt
Filed under: uncultured bacterium
Lineage: Bacteria
Description: partial 16S ribosomal RNA
Rfam family: Bacterial small subunit ribosomal RNA
Source: RNAcentral